Molecule: ribosomal RNA, 482 nt
Filed under: uncultured Archaeospora
Lineage: Eukaryota; Fungi; Glomeromycota; Glomeromycetes; Archaeosporales; Archaeosporaceae
Description: SSU rRNA
Rfam family: Eukaryotic small subunit ribosomal RNA
Source: RNAcentral
AGCAGCCGCGGUAAUUCCAGCUCCAAUAGCGUAUAUUAAAGUUGUUGCAGUUAAAAAGCUCGUAGUUGAAUUUUAGGCCUGGCCGGGCGGUCCGUCUUUGGCGAGUACUGUCUUGUUGUCGGGUCUUCCUUCUGGUGAACCAGUAUGCCCUUUAUUGGGUGUGUUGGGGAGCCAGGACCAUUACCUUGAAAAAAUUAGAGUGUUUAAAGCGGGCUAUUGCUUGAAUAGAUUAGCAUGGAAUAAUAGAAUAGGACGUUGUGGUUCUAUUUUGUUGGUUUCUAGGACCACCGUAAUGAUUAAUAGGGAUAGUUGGGGGCAUUAGUAUUCAAUUGUCAGAGGUGAAAUUCUUGGAUUUAUUGAAGACUAACUAUUGCGAAAGCAUUUGCCAAGGAUGUUUUCAUUAAUCAAGAACGAAAGUUAGGGGAUCGAAGACGAUCAGAUACCGUCGUAGUCUUAACCAUAAACUAUGCCGACUAGGAAUC